This 350-nucleotide ribosomal RNA is filed under the name uncultured bacterium. RNAcentral describes it as "bacterial SSU rRNA". It matches the Rfam family "Bacterial small subunit ribosomal RNA", at positions 355 to 697 of the family's 1533-position model. The record is from RNAcentral.
UGGGGAAUUUUGGACAAUGGGCGCAAGCCUGAUCCAGCCAUGCCGCGUGUGGGAAGAAGGCCUUCGGGUUGUAAACCACUUUUGUCAGGGAAGAAACGGCCUAAUCUAAUACAUUGGGUUAAUGACGGUACCUGAAGAAUAAGCACCGGCUAACUACGUGCCAGCAGCCGCGGUAAUACGUAGGGUGCGAGCGUUAAUCGGAAUUACUGGGCGUAAAGCGUGCGCAGGCGGCUUUGCAAGACAGAUGUGAAAUCCCCGGGCUCAACCUGGGAACUGCAUUUGUGACUGCAAGGCUAGAGUACGGUAGAGGGGGAUGGAAUUCCGCGUGUAGCAGUGAAAUGCGUAGAUAU